GGUUAAGCGACUAAGCGUACACGGUGGAUGCCCUGGCAGUCAGAGGCGAUGAAGGACGUGCUAAUCUGCGAAAAGCGCCGGCGAGGUGAUAUGAACCUUUGACCCGGCGAUGUCCGAAUGGGGAAACCCAGUGCAAUCCGUUGCACUAUCGUUAACUGAAUACAUAGGUUAACGAGGCGAACCGGGGGAACUGAAACAUCUAAGUACCCCGAGGAAAAGAAAUCAACCGAGAUUCCCCCAGUAGCGGCGAGCGAACGGGGAGCAGCCCG
This 269-nucleotide ribosomal RNA is filed under the name Streptococcus suis. Its description in RNAcentral is "partial 23S ribosomal RNA". It matches the Rfam family "Bacterial large subunit ribosomal RNA", at positions 1 to 271 of the family's 2925-position model. The record is from RNAcentral. Lineage: Bacteria; Bacillati; Bacillota; Bacilli; Lactobacillales; Streptococcaceae.